Long non-coding RNA from Megalobrama amblycephala (Wuchang bream), 341 nucleotides. RefSeq lists it as uncharacterized. The transcript has 2 exons. Lineage: Eukaryota; Metazoa; Chordata; Actinopteri; Cypriniformes; Xenocyprididae. The record is from RefSeq and is a predicted model, not a curated record.
UAUUCAGAGGCUGCAAGACCAAAUGGAGUGACGAAGACUGUCCCAUUUCGAAGGCUCCUUAAAAUGUGGCCUCAAAAUAAGUCCUUUGUUUCCCGGGCCACAAAGGAUACAAGGAAUCCCAAGAUUCAUUGCUCACAGGAGAUCCAAUAAAUGAAGUGCACUCUCCGGACAAAUCCCUAUUAACGGGACUCCUGACAAAUGAACCAGGUGAACUCAAAACUGACUUGAGUGAUUUGAUUGUGCAAGGUCUGCAAAAGGAACAGGACAAAGCCUCAAAGAAAGACACCAAAAAGAAGAGGAGAAGGAGAAGGAUGAAGCCCAACCAGGAGAGGAUCAUCUCU